ACGAGGAGGCAUUGAGUUUGAUCAGAGAGCAGAUUGAGUGAUGACACGUGUAGUCUCAGUAAUAGCGCAGCUGGGUGAGAUAGUGGCNGGAGAAUCUAGUGUCGGCUCUGGGAUAGUACGCUCGCAAGGUGAACUAAAGCGAAAUGACGGAAGACACUACCAGGAGUGGAUGUGCUGCUUAUUUACUCAACGCGGGAAAACUUACCAGGGUCAAGUCAUUCGUUGAUCGAAUACGUGAGAAUGGCAGGAGUGGUGCAUGGCCGUUGGAAAUUGAUGGGGCGACCUUUAGCUUAAAUGCUUAAACCAGUGAGACCUCCUUGACAGGUGUUCUGUAACACAGGAGGGUGGAGGCUAUAACAGGUCCGUGAUGCCCUUAGAUAUCCUGGGCAGCAAGCGCAAUACAAUAUCUCUUCAGUAGACAAAGUGAUUUGAGAUGAGUAGGAUCUACGUUUGUAAAUACGUAGUGAAUAAGGAAUUCCUAGUAACGGUGCCUCAUCAAGGCAUGGUGAAUGUGUCCCUGUUCUUUGUACACACCGCCCGUCACUAUUUCAGAUGGUCAUAGGGAUGAAGAGCUUCGGCUCUGAAUAUCUAUGGCUAGAUAAAGUACAAGUCGUAACAAGGUUUCAGUUGGAGAACCAGCUGAAGGAUCAUUU
Molecule: non-coding RNA, 653 nt
Filed under: Enterocytozoon bieneusi H348
Lineage: Eukaryota; Fungi; Microsporidia; Enterocytozoonidae
Description: Microsporidia small subunit ribosomal RNA
Rfam family: Microsporidia small subunit ribosomal RNA
Source: Rfam by way of RNAcentral